GUGAGGGCCUGGGUUCCUUCACCGUCUCGUGUUCCAUGGCGAUGUCUGAAGCCGGCAUAAUCCUCUUUACCUGCUCCUCCCUCAGGCAAUAAGCAGGUUGCUUGGACCCAGAAGAAUAGCUACUUUCUGUGGCCACACUGUGAGGGAGGGCUUCCAGGUGGCUGGGGAAAUUAGUUGCUGUGACAACAAGCUGGCGGGGGUGUAGUUUGCUGCACUUUGCAGCUCUUGUCUUCUGCUCCAGGGCACUCAGCUGCCUGGGGGAACCUGGAAAUCCAGUAAUUCACACCUCAGGAGCAACAUCGGACAGACAGUGGUUUGGAGCAGAGUGAGUGACUCUUUUCCUGGCCCCGAGGAGCAGCUGAAGAGGAUGCAGUGACCAGUGGAAGGACACGCAGCGUGUCCUGUAUCGUGAGGUCAGCUCUUCCACACUCUCCUCAUUUGAUUCUGGCUCCAGCGGACACUGGGUCCUCACAGCAGGCAAGCAGUCACAUUCGAAUGAACGCUGAUUGUUCAAAGUUAACACGGCCCCCUUUGCAGGGGGAUGUUGUCUGAUGGGAGUUUUCUCUCCGUGAAGAUCCCUGCUGAGGUUUCAGGGGAGGAGGAAAGAAGUGAGACGAGAGGCACUGGGGGAGGUGGAGACGGUGAGCAGCUAUGAGCCCAGCGGCACCUCUGACGACUGCCAUCCCCUCCCCCGCCUGAGCUGGGGCUGCCGAGAGGAGACGGGACUCGGCUUUUGUUUUCAUUUCCAUUUAAUUUGCCCAAAUGAAAACUGCAAUUACAGAGCAAUUAUACGUCCCCAUGUGCUUCAGGGAUGCUGUCCCUGGCACAUUUCCUAUCCCUAUUUGGAGAAUUCACCCAUAAAAGCAUCAGAUUCGUCUGCAUUAUAUGUGGAAAUCUGCAGUUUCAUCCUUUGUGCAAGGGAUAAAAAUUCACCCUGGGGUAUCAAGUUUAAUAAGGCUUAAUUAGACCAAUUUGCAGUAAGCUGAGGUUUCCACUCUGCAUUUUGACAAGCAGCUCGAGCUGGUUCACUAGAUUUUUAUGUUUGGGAAUUUCUGUAUCUCAAACAAAAAGGUCAGAAGGAACAUAAAAUUCUACAAGACUCUAAGGCAUCCUGAAUUGCUGUUGUCAUUGGUAUGUGUACAUGUGUUUGUUGUGUCACGUCUUUGGAAUGUUCUCAUUGAUUAUGAAAGUGUGAUCUUGGGUAGCUGAGUAGUCUCUCCAUCAGGGGGAUUCAACAAAGUUGAUUUUACUGAGUUGCACUUUGAUGCCCUAUCUCUGGAGUUUCAUCCAGGUCCCUCAGAAGGAAAAGCCUUACAAAAUUCAUUCUUACGGCCAUAGGGAAAGGGCUGAGGCCUUUCUUCAUGAGGAGGAGGAUGUGGGUCAGGACACAAGAGAAGAGAAAAUUGUAUACUUUCUUUUUUCGUUGAAUUUUUGACAUUAGGAAUUCUAGAUACUUGACUGAAAACUGGAAGCAAUAUUCUACAACCAAAAGAGGUUUCAAAAGGCGUGUGGCAAACAGAGCCACUCCUCUCUGUUGAUCCACGAGGUACUGUUGACACUGCCUCUGCAGCGCUGGGGCAACAGAAUGCCCUUCAACCCUCUAGGGUAUGUUCCCUUCUUAGCGGAUACAGUGCCUUAAAUGCUCAUUUUACAAUGAGGCUCCUGGUCAAAGAUGCUAAGUACCAGAAGACUCAAGGUAGAAGCUGAAGAUGUGAUCCUUAAAACUGAUAAUGUAUAGACCUCAGAAUGGCCCUCAGGUAUCUCAGGUAUCUUUUUGACAAAGUGAUUCUUGAGGGAGUAGGAAUCAGGACAGCUACAUUUUUUUAAAAAAGUGCCUGGAAAGGACUGGAACAUAAGAUGCUGCCGGCAGAGCAGGCCAGUUUGGAAUGGGGUCGGGGGAGAGAUGGUAGAAAGCAGCAUAUGACAGCUCCAUUCGGGGAGAGGAAGACAGAAAUGAAAGGAAGGGAAAAAACUGAGCGAUGAUAGAAAGGGGUACGGAUAGAAAAGGCUGGCACAGAUUAAUAGCUGACAUGGCAGUUGGUUUUAAUUACUGGUGCAAAAUCGCAGGAAGCUCCAUUAUGAUCUGUUUCUCUAGUUGAAGAAUUACCUCUGGCUCUGCAUGCUAUAAUCCGAUUGUGGGGGUCUUGGGCUGUAAAUACUGAGGGUCUGUGGUCUGUAAUAGAAGCCUUUCCUCUUUCUGCCAGAAAAGGAGCAGGAGCUGAAAAAGCGAGGCCAGUCUUACAACUCACUGGACUUCUGGCAAGAAUCCCUCCCCUGAACCAACCCUAACUGCUGACCUGAGUUAUACACAUUCAAGAGAGAAGUAGAAGGUUUUCAUUACAAGUCAUCUAACUCUGCAGGAGUUUGGCUUUGAAAACCCCCUGAAAAGGACUCAUGUGAAUAAAGCGGGGCCAUUCUCAUUGAAG
Molecule: long non-coding RNA, 2426 nt
Organism: Phacochoerus africanus (Common warthog)
Lineage: Eukaryota; Metazoa; Chordata; Mammalia; Artiodactyla; Suidae
Exons: 4
Source: RefSeq, a predicted model, not a curated record